CAAAUCAGGUAGGACUACCCGCUGAACUUAAGCAUAUCAAUAAGCGGAGGAAAAGAAACCAACAGGGAUUGCCUCAGUAACGGCGAGUGAAGCGGCAAAAGCUCAAAUUUGAAAUCUGGUACCUUUGGUGCCCGAGUUGUAAUUUGAAGAUAGUUUUCUGGUGCUGGCCCUUGUCUAUGUUCCUUGGAACAGGACGUCACAGAGGGUGAGAAUCCCGUCUGGCGGGGUGUCCAGUGCUUUGUAGAUUUCUAUCGACGAGUCGAGUUGUUUGGGAAUGCAGCUCUAAGUGGGUGGUAAAUUCCAUCUAAAGCUAAAUAUUGGCGAGAGACCGAUAGCGAACAAGUACAGUGAUGGAAAGAUGAAAAGAACUUUGAAAAGAGAGUGAAAAAGUACGUGAAAUUGUUGAAAGGGAAGGGUAUUAGAUCAGACUUGGUGUUUUGUGAUUAUCUUCCCUUCUUGGGUUGUGCACUCGCAUUUCACUGGGCCAGCAUCGGUUCGGGUGGUAAGAUAAUGACAUUGGAACGUGGCACUGCCUUCGGGUGGUGUGUUAUAGCCCUUGUUGAUGUUGCCUAUCUGGACCGAGGACUGCGGCUUUUGCCUAGGAUGCUGGCGUAAUGAUCUAACACCGCCCGUCUUGAAACAUGGACCAAGGAGUCUAACGUCUAUGCGAGUGUUUG
RNAcentral lists this ribosomal RNA (677 nucleotides) under Williopsis saturnus. RNAcentral's name for it is "eukaryotic LSU rRNA". It matches the Rfam family "Eukaryotic large subunit ribosomal RNA", at positions 1 to 696 of the family's 3401-position model. Lineage: Eukaryota; Fungi; Ascomycota; Saccharomycetes; Phaffomycetales; Wickerhamomycetaceae. The record is from RNAcentral.